Molecule: small nuclear RNA, 196 nt
Filed under: Scedosporium apiospermum
Lineage: Eukaryota; Fungi; Ascomycota; Sordariomycetes; Microascales; Microascaceae
Description: U2 spliceosomal RNA
Rfam family: U2 spliceosomal RNA
About the family: U2 is a small nuclear RNA (snRNA) component of the spliceosome (involved in pre-mRNA splicing).
Source: Rfam by way of RNAcentral
CUAACCUCCCCGGCUACAGUUUGGCUUAGAUCAAGUGUAGUAUCUGUUCUUUUCAGUUUAAUCUCUGAAAGGUCUCUAAGGAGGCCAAUCGUGAUUAAUCUUAUUUUUGCCUCUCGGGAGAAGCCCUCUGUGCUUGCACAUGGCUUCACCCACAGUGUCCCUGGUAUUACACUGCCUCCAGGUGACGCGAACACAU